This 253-nucleotide ribosomal RNA is filed under the name uncultured bacterium. Its description in RNAcentral is "partial 16S ribosomal RNA". It matches the Rfam family "Bacterial small subunit ribosomal RNA", at positions 524 to 776 of the family's 1533-position model. The record is from RNAcentral.
UACAGAGGUCUCAAGCGUUGUUCGGAUUCAUUGGGCGUAAAGGGUGCGUAGGCGGCGCGGUAAGUCGGGUGUGAAAUCUCGGAGCUUAACUCCGAAACUGCAUUCGAUACUGCCGUGCUUGAGGACUGGAGAGGAGACUGGAAUUUACGGUGUAGCGGUGAAAUGCGUAGAUAUCAGGAGGAACACCAACGGCGAAGGCAGCUCGCUGGGACGGUACUGACGCUGAGGCGCGAAAGCGUGGGGAGCGAACAGG